This 459-nucleotide ribosomal RNA is filed under the name uncultured bacterium. RNAcentral's name for it is "partial 16S ribosomal RNA". It matches the Rfam family "Bacterial small subunit ribosomal RNA", at positions 338 to 795 of the family's 1533-position model. The record is from RNAcentral.
CCUACGGGUGGCAGCAGUGGGGAAUAUUGCGCAAUGGGCGAAAGCCUGACGCAGCGACGCCGCGUGAGGGAUGAAGGUGCCAAGCAUUGUAAACUUCUUUUGUCAAGGGACAAAAUCAGGCUCGAGAGCCUGACCGAGGGUACUUGAAGAAAAAGCAUCGGCUAACUCCGUGCCAGCAGCCGCGGUAAUACGGAGGAUGCGAGCGUUAUCCGGAUUUAUUGGGUUUAAAGGGUGCGUAGGCGGGCUGUUAAGUCAGCGGUAAAAGCCCGGGGCUCAACCCCGGCGAGCCGUUGAAACUGGCUGUCUUGAGAUGUCGAGAGGUAUGCGGAAUGCGCAGUGUAGCGGUGAAAUGCUUAGAUAUUGCGCAGAACUCCGAUUGCGAAGGCAGCAUACCGGCGGCGAUCUGACGCUGAGGCACGAAAGCGUGGGUAUCGAACAGGAUUAGAUACCCUGGUAGUC